Molecule: ribosomal RNA, 224 nt
Filed under: uncultured bacterium
Lineage: Bacteria
Description: partial 16S ribosomal RNA
Rfam family: Bacterial small subunit ribosomal RNA
Source: RNAcentral
ACGCUCGACACCUACGGGAGCCAGCAGUAGGGAAUCUUCCGCAAUGGACGAAAGUCUGACGGAGCAACGCCGCGUGAACGAUGAAGGUUUUCGGAUCGUAAAGUUCUGUUGUUAGGGAAGAACAAACUUCGUUUGAAUAAGGCGGAGUCAUGACGGUACCUAACGAGAAAGCCACGGCUAACUACGUGCCAACAGCCGCGGUAAUCUGAGCGGGCUGGCAAGGC